AACGAACGCUGGCGGCAUGCCUAACACAUGCAAGUCGAACGAGACCUUCGGGUCUAGUGGCGCACGGGUGCGUAACGCGUGGGAAUCUGCCCUUCGGUUCGGAACAACAGUUAGAAAUGACUGCUAAUACCGGAUAAUGACGUAAGUCCAAAGAUUUAUCGCCGAAGGAUGGGCCCGCGUAAGAUUAGGUAGUUGGUGGGGUAAUGGCCUACCAAGCCGACGAUCUUUAGCUGGUCUGAGAGGAUGAUCAGCCACACUGGGACUGAGACACGGCCCAGACUCCUACGGGAGGCAGCAGUGGGGAAUAUUGGACAAUGGGCGAAAGCCUGAUCCAGCAAUGCCGCGUGAGUGAUGAAGGCCUUAGGGUUGUAAAGCUCUUUUACCAGGGAUGAUAAUGACAGUACCUGGAGAAUAAGCUCCGGCUAACUCCGUG
RNAcentral lists this ribosomal RNA (433 nucleotides) under uncultured bacterium. Its description in RNAcentral is "bacterial SSU rRNA". It matches the Rfam family "Bacterial small subunit ribosomal RNA", at positions 29 to 507 of the family's 1533-position model. The record is from RNAcentral.